UCACAGGUGACGUUUUAAAUGAACGACGGGCGGAACCCGGCUUCCACAUCUUAUUUGGACGACGGGCGGAAUCCGGCUUCCACACUUCAUAUCCGGGGUUUCCCCAAAGGCAAAAUUAAGCCUGAUCACGCUCAGGUGGGGCAAAUUAACACAGCGGUUGCUAAUAGGCUAACGAGGAGAAGAGUCAGGGUAUAAAAACACCUUGCAGACAUCAAACGGGGUGGUUUUGUGGUAUACGUUGUGUACGUUGUGUUGCUGCUUUGCAGACGGACCACGCUGGUCGGAUCGCUCUCCUGGGGAAGAGAGUAAGAGACAGUCAGCGGACGAAGGGAUAGUGUGGAGUUUACGUGAGAAGGAGUGGACAUAGAGCCAUCGAGAGCACCGUGAACAGAGGUUAUUGGCAACCAAGCGUGAGUAACAGCUGUGAUACUUCUCUGCAAAUGUCUUGUAUGAAGAAUUACCCUGGUGUGUGUUCUUGUGUUUCGUGAGGUCCCUGGCCCCACUGGAGAGGAGAGCGUGGGUGAGCCGCGGUUGACCAGAAGCACGGACGAAGCACCGCCCGCCAGUAAACCAGUGGCCCUGUGGGAAAGAGGAAGUGCAGGUGAGCCAGGGAAGUGAUAACCGACACGCCGGGCCUGUGAAUACCAUACAUCUCUCCUUCCUUUGUGUGAUCCAGUUGUUGCCCAACCAAUCUCUCGAGGUCGUCGUGGUCAGGUGGCAAGGACGAUCUAAAAUUCACGUGACGUGGUAUAAGAGUGCUGUGGGUGAGUUUCACUGAUUGAUGGUGUUUACGCUUGACUUGCUGUGCGUAUGCUGUGCUUGUAGCGUUCGAACUGCCCAGCCUCCGACGAGACACGAGAUGGUGACAUCUGUUGCGGCCUGAAUCCUGUAGGGAGAGAGAGAAAAUCAAGCCUUGUGCCCGGGGUGUGACAACGAGAGCUUCGUCUACUACCUACCUGAACUAGUGAAGCUCCGUGUGGGAACGAGGAUCCCCCGGCACUGUGAGUAACGCAGCCUGUGAAAUAACCUGUUCUGUGCUUAUAGCAACAACCUACCUGAACCAGUGGAGCUCCGUGUGGGAACGAGGAUCCCCCGGCACUGUGAGUAACGCAACCUGUGAAAUAACCUGUUCUGUGCUUAUAGCAACAACCUACCUGAACCAGUGGAGCUCCGUGUGGGAACGAGGAUCCCCCGGCACUGUGAGUAACGCAGCCUGUGAAAUAACCUGUUCUGUGCUUAUAGCAACAACCUACCUGAACCAGUGGAGCCCCGUGUGGGAACGAGGAUCCCCCGGCACUGUGAGUAACGCAGCCUGUGAAAUAACCUGUUCUGUGCUUAUAGCAACAACCUACCUGAACCAGUGGAGCCCCGUGUGGGAACGAGGAUCCCCCGGCACUGUGAGUGACGCAGCCUGUGAAAUAACCUGUUCUGUGCUUAUAGCAACAACCUACCUGAACCAGUGGAGCUCCGUGUGGGAACGAGGAUCCCCCGGCACUCGACUACCUACCUGAACCAGUGGAGCUCUGUGUGGGAACGAGGAUCCCCCGGCACUCAACUACUUACCUGAACCAGUGAAGCUCCGUGUGGGAACGAGGAUCCCCCGGUGCUGCGAGCAUCAGUGGAGUGUUUGCCCUGGUCUGAUUGUGCCCGAUUCUGCCUCCAGGAGAAGCGGAGCGCGCCACGGGUUGCUGGGCCAGAGCCCCGGCCCCCAGUCUUUUCCCCAAGUGGCCCUGGAGGCAAAGAAGAGCCACUUUAGUUUUAAAGUUCCCUUUUUCCCUUCCCCCUUUCCCCUUUUAAAUAUUUAAUAAAGCUUGUUUUAAUUAUA
Molecule: non-coding RNA, 1825 nt
Organism: Misgurnus anguillicaudatus (oriental weatherfish)
Lineage: Eukaryota; Metazoa; Chordata; Actinopteri; Cypriniformes; Cobitidae
Source: RefSeq, a predicted model, not a curated record